Long non-coding RNA from Sapajus apella (tufted capuchin), 3375 nucleotides. RefSeq lists it as uncharacterized. The transcript is spliced from 2 exons. Lineage: Eukaryota; Metazoa; Chordata; Mammalia; Primates; Cebidae. The record is from RefSeq and is a predicted model, not a curated record.
GUUACCCAGGUUAGUCUCAAACUCCCAAGCAAACCUCCUGCCUUGGCCUCCCAAAUUGCUAGGAUUACAGGCAUGAGCCACAGCUCUGGCUGGAUUUUUUUUUUCUUACAGUCUGAAUAUGUUCAUAGAUUUUUUCUUGAUUGGGCAUUUACUGGGUUGUUGUAAACCUAUAACUGUUUUUCACAGCUCCUACGAAGUUUAAUCAGAUUGCUUCUGUUUCAUUUUCUUUUGUUUUGUUGAUGUUUCUGUUGGGGAACAAAAGUUUGAAGCUUCCUUGUACAUGACUCUUGUCUUCACUUCUGAUUUUAUAAUUAAACUUGUUGAUGUGGUUUGGAUAUUUGUAUCCUCCAAAUCUGAUGUUGGAAUGUGGUCCCCAAUUUUGGAGGUGGGGGCUAGUGGGAUGUAUUUUCGUUAUAGAGGUGGAUCCCUCAUGAAUGUCUUGGUGUGUUCCCUCUGGUAAUGAAUGAAUUCUCACUUCCUUAGUUCACAUAGUAGCUACUUGUUUACAGGAGCCUGGCAUCUCUCUUGCCAUGUAAUAUGCCUGCUCCCCCUUCACCUUCUGCUAUGAAUAAAAGCUCCUCAGGCCUCAGGAAGAAGAGGCCAUCAGAAGUAGAUGUUGCCACCAUGCUUCCUGUACAGUCUGCUGAACCAUGAGCCAAAUAAAUCUAUUUUCUUUAUAUAGUACCUGAACUCAGGUAUUCUUUUAUAGCAAUGCAAAUCAGACAAACACACUUAUUAUUUAACAUAAUUGUAGGCUCACAUGCAAUGAUAAGAAAUGGUAAUCCUCUGUACUCUUUAUACACUUUCCUACAAUGGUAACACCUUCCAAAACUAUAGUACAAUAUUACAUCCAAAAUAUUGAUAUUGAUACAGUUAAGGUCCAGAACGUUUCCAUUACUGCAGGGAUUCCUUAUACUGACCUUUUAUGCUCAUACUCACUUUCUCCCCUGGCAGACCUCUUUCUUAACUCUUACAACCACUAAUCUGUUUUCCACUUUAAAAAUGUUGUUAUUUUCAGAAUGAUAUAUAAAUAAAUCAUGCAAUAUGAAACAUUUUGGGAUUAGUCAUUUUCAUUCAGCAUAAUUCACUGGAACUUCAUCUGGGUUAUUGAAUGUAUUAAUAUAAUUCCAUUAUAUGGAUAUUCUACUGUUUAUUUAUUAUUCAUCCACUGAAGGACAUCUGGGAUAUUUUAAAUUUAGGAAUAUUAUGAAUGAAACUUGUAUUGCCAUUUGUGUAAAGGUUUUUGUGUGAACACAAGGUUUUACUUCUAGGAAAUAAAUGCCGGAAAAUGCAAUUAUUGUAUUAUAUGAGAGGUCCAUGGGUAGUUGGUUUUUUUUUUUUUUUUUUUUUGAAUAAACUGCCAUGCUCUUUAUCAGAGUGGCUAUAGUGUUUUGCAUUAUCACCAGAAUGUAUGAGUAAUCUGGUUUCUCUAAUUUUUUUCUAACAUUUGGCUUUUUGAACAUUUUAUCUUAGUCAUUCUGAUAGGUAUCUAGUAAUACCUAAUUGUAGCUUUAUUGUUGAUCCCUAAUUGCUACUGGCAUUGAAAAUAUUUUCAUGUAUUUCUUUGCGAUCUUGCAUAUUUUCUUUGGUAAAAUGUCUUUUCAUGUCCAGGUUCUAAUUGGGCUGUUUGAUUUUUUACUGUUGAGUUUUGAGUGGUUUUUAAAAAUAUAUUCUAGAUAUAAGUGCUUUGUCAGAUAUGUGCUUGCAAACAUUUUCUCCAAAAUUUUAGCCUUAUCUUUUAUGCUUGCAAUAUGUUUUUUCACAGGGUAAAAGUUUAAAAAUGUUUAAGAAGUUCAACUUAUCAGUUUUUCAUUUUUUAGAUUAUGCUUUUGAUGUCAAGUCUAAGAGCCCUUUCCCUAGCCUUAGAUCCUGAAUAUUUUCCUUUAUGUUGUUUCCUAAAAGCUUUAGAAUGUUAUGCUACUUUUAAGUUUGUGAUAAAUUUUGAAUCGAUUUUAGUAUAAGAUGUGAGAUUUAGAUUGAAGUUUAUUUUUUGCCAGUGGAUGUCCAGUUGCUCCAACACCAUUUUUUGGAAGGCUAUCUUUCCUUUGGUUAGUUGCAUUUGCUCCUUUGUCAAAAUUCAGGUGGACAUAUUUUUGGAUUAUUUAUCUUGUUCCAUUGAUUUACAUGUCUAUUCAUCUAAUUAUUAUACACAGUCUUGAUUACUGUAGCUAUUUAGUAAAAAUCUUAGAGUACAUUGAUUUUUCCUACUUUUUUCUUGUUUCUCAAAAUUGUUUUAAUUAUACUUGUUCCUUUGCUAUUCUAUAUAAAUUUUACAGUAAUCUCAUCUAUAGCCACAGAAAAUCUUGCUGGCAUUUUGGUAGAAAUUGUGUAAAAUUUUAUCAAUUCAAGAAAAACCAGUAUCUCACCAUGACUUUUUGAGUGUUCCAACUCGAGCACAGCAUGUCUCUCCAUUUAUUUAGAUUUUAAAAAUCUUUCAUCAGUGUUGUGUAGUUUUUGUAGUUUUUGGAACACAAGUCCUGUACAUUUUUUUUACAUUUACACCUAGGUAUCCUUUUUAAGUUAAUGUAAAUGGUAUUAUAUUUUACAUUUUGGUAUUGAUUUUUUAAUUGUUAGUAUAUGGAUAUACAAUUUACUUUUCUAUAUUCAUCUUUUUUUCGGUGACCUUGCUAAAUUUAUUUAUUCUAGAAGUGUUUUUCUUUGUCCAUUCUUUGGGAUUUUAAAGUACACAGUUGUGUCAUACAUGAAUAAAAGCAGUUUUAUUUCUUUCUCAUUUGCAUUCCUCUUAUUUACUUUUCUUGCGUUAUUGCAUCACGCAGAGCUUCCAGUGCUGUGUUGAAACAGAAUGGUGAGAACAGAUAUUUUGGCCUUGCUCCUGAUAUUGGGAUAAAAGCAUUCAGUCCUUCACAAUUAAAAAUAAAUCUGUCUAUAGGUUUUUCAUAGAUGCUUCUUACUGAGUUGAGAAAGUUCUCAGUUCUCCUCUAUUUCUAUUUCUCUCAGUUUUUUUAAAACCAUGAAUUGAUAUUGAAGUUUGGUCGAAUGUUUCUCUGCAUUUAUUGAUAUGAUCAUUAUGAACAUAUGUCUUUUCUUCUUUAGCCCAUCAAUAUGGUAGAUUAUAAUGACUGAUUUUCAAAUAUUGAAUAUAUGAAAUAAAACCUACUUGGUCAUGGUGUAUGAUUCUUUUUAUUCAUUGUAAAAUUUUAUUUGCUAGUAUUUUGAAAAGAAUGUUGAAAUCUAAAUUUAUGAAAGUUAUCAGUCUGUAUUUUCUUUUUAUUUCUCUAUUGUCUUUGGUUUUGGCAUCAGGGUGACACUAUCUUCAUGGCAUACAUUGAGAAGUGUUCCUUCUACUUAGCUGGAUUACCUUCCUAUGAGGGGACUUCCAAAAGUUCAUGGAAAAUGGAAUUAGAAGAUAAAAAU